AUUGAACGCUGGCGGUAGGCCUAACACAUGCAAGUCGAGCGGCUGAACGGAGCUUGCUCCUGGAUUCAGCUGCCGAGGGGCGGGUGAUGGCUAGGUACCUCCCUGGUUGCGGUGUCUUGCGUCCGGACGCGGGGGCUCAUACCCCAUUCCCCCAUACGGCGUACGGGUGGAAGCUUCGGAUCUUCCGAUCUUACGCGAGCCUAUGUCGGGAUGUCGGAUUAGCUAGUUGGCGGGGUAAAGGCCCACCAAUGCGACGAUGCGUAGCUGGUCUGAGAGGAUGAUCAGCCACACUGGAACUGAGACACGGUCCAGACUCCUACGGGAGGCAGCAGUGGGGAAUAUUGGACAAUGGGCGAAAGCCUGAUCCAGCCAUACCGCGUGUGUGAAGAAGGUCUUCGGGUUGUAAAGCACUUUUGUUGGGGAAGAAAAGCAGUAAGUUAAUACCCCGCUGUUCUGACGGUACCAACAGAAUAAGCACCGGCUAACUUCGUG
RNAcentral lists this ribosomal RNA (492 nucleotides) under uncultured bacterium. Its description in RNAcentral is "partial 16S ribosomal RNA". It matches the Rfam family "Bacterial small subunit ribosomal RNA", at positions 30 to 507 of the family's 1533-position model. The record is from RNAcentral.